RNAcentral lists this ribosomal RNA (117 nucleotides) under Puniceicoccales bacterium. Lineage: Bacteria; Pseudomonadati; Verrucomicrobiota; Opitutia; Puniceicoccales. The record is from RNAcentral.
UCCGGUGACCAUAGGCGAAGUGAAACACACGUUCCCAUCCCGAACACGUUCGUUAAGCCUUCAGCCGUCGAUGGUAGUGCGGCCAUGUUGCCGUGUGAGAGUAGAUUGUCGCCGGGU